RNAcentral lists this ribosomal RNA (220 nucleotides) under uncultured Glomus. RNAcentral describes it as "partial small subunit ribosomal RNA". It matches the Rfam family "Eukaryotic small subunit ribosomal RNA", at positions 591 to 816 of the family's 1831-position model. Lineage: Eukaryota; Fungi; Glomeromycota; Glomeromycetes; Glomerales; Glomeraceae. The record is from RNAcentral.
CCAAUAGCGUAUAUUAAAGUUGUUGCAGUUAAAAAGCUCGUAGUUGAAUUUCGGGACUAACAGAUUGGUCGCGCCUUUGGUGUGUACUGGUCUAGUUGGUUUCUCCCUUCUGACGAACCACGAUGUCAUUAAUUUGGUGUCGUGGGAAAUCAGGACUGUUACUUUGAAAAAAUUAGAGUGUUUAAAGCAAGCGUUAGCUUGAAUACAUUAGCAUGGAAUA